AGCUGCUUCGUUACUUCGACGAGGAACAGGUGAUCCUCACCCAGCUGCUGCCUCUUCUCUCCUCUCUGGAAGAGUGAGCACCUUGGCAGAGGUGCAGCUGCCUGCUCUCUUCUCCCACUCGUGUUUCUGACCUCCUACCUGCCAGAAGAUUUUUUUUGGGGUGCUUCUGAUCUGAGGAAGAGCCUCACCAGCAGGAGCCAGGUUUCCCCCACCACGCUCCUUUGGUUUUAUUGCCUUUUCUUCUGUGGAUGACUCCUCGUUCCAAGCAACAAAAAAACUAAAGCCACCAGCACUGAA
Pogoniulus pusillus (Red-fronted tinkerbird) is the source of this 297-nucleotide long non-coding RNA. RefSeq lists it as uncharacterized. The record is from RefSeq and is a predicted model, not a curated record. Lineage: Eukaryota; Metazoa; Chordata; Aves; Piciformes; Lybiidae. The transcript has 2 exons.